GGGGGUGCACCGGUUUCGACGAUUGUGAUCAAGGCACUUACUGCAUGUGGGAGUCAAGGUUCCCCAAACUGAGAAAACAAUAACUGCAAUUUUCGAAAGAAAAGAAGAAGAAGUCGAAGAGGCUUCUUUCGCAGAAGCUCUCGCUGCUUAAUUGCGCUUGAGCCGGAACUAAUGGGGUGCUGUUCCUAACUUCAUUACUUCCGUCACAAACAGGGACUUGCUGCUUGAUGUUUCUGGUCUUCGAGCGGGACUUUUUAAUCAGAAUACGGAGAAGACGCUUGUUAUGCUGCUACCUGCUCCCGACAACUACCUCGCAUAACUAAACAUGUAGAUGUAUUUGGCUUCCACUUUCGGACGGGGGUUCAAUUCCCCCCAUCUCCA
This 381-nucleotide small RNA is filed under the name uncultured Treponema sp. RNAcentral's name for it is "transfer-messenger RNA". It matches the Rfam family "transfer-messenger RNA". Rfam says of the family: Bacterial tmRNA, also known as 10Sa RNA or SsrA, is named for its dual tRNA and mRNA-like properties. Its role is to liberate the mRNA from a stalled ribosome. The record is from RNAcentral. Lineage: Bacteria; Pseudomonadati; Spirochaetota; Spirochaetia; Treponematales; Treponemataceae.